GCACUCGUGGCCGAGUGGUUAAGGCGAUGGACUAGAAAGCCAUUGGGGUCUCCCCGCACAGGUUUAAAUCCUGUUGACUGCG
This 82-nucleotide transfer RNA is filed under the name Ixodes scapularis (black-legged tick). It matches the Rfam family "tRNA". From Rfam's summary of the family: Transfer RNA (tRNA) molecules are approximately 80 nucleotides in length. Their secondary structure includes four short double-helical elements and three loops (D, anti-codon, and T loops). The record is from Rfam by way of RNAcentral. Lineage: Eukaryota; Metazoa; Arthropoda; Arachnida; Ixodida; Ixodidae.